GAUGAACGCUGGCGGCGUGCUUAACACAUGCAAGUCGAACGAUGAAGCCCAGCUUGCUGGGUGUUUUAGUGGCGAACGGGUGAGUAACACGGGAGUAACCUGCCCUUAACUCUGUGAUAAGCCUGGGAGACGGGGUCUAAUACCUGAUAGCGGCGUCCACCGCAGGGUGGGUGUUGGAAAGAUUUAUCGGUUUUGGCUGGGCUCGCGGCCUAUCAGCUUGUUGGUGAGGUAAUGGCUCACCAAGGCGACGACGGGUAGCCGGCCUGAGAGGGUGACCGGCCACACUGGGACUGCGACACGGCCCAGACUCCUACGGGAGGCAGCAGUGGGGAACAUUGCACAAUGGGCGCAAGCCUGAUGCAGCGACGCCGCGUGAGGGAUGACGGCCUUCGGGUUGUAAACCUCUUUCAGUAGGGACGAAGCGAAAGUGACGGUACCUGCAGAAGAAGCACCGGCUAACUACGUG
Molecule: ribosomal RNA, 466 nt
Filed under: uncultured bacterium
Lineage: Bacteria
Description: partial 16S ribosomal RNA
Rfam family: Bacterial small subunit ribosomal RNA
Source: RNAcentral